CUGAUACCUUUACCCUUUAAAGUGAGAAGGGUUUGCUUAAGGGGUACGUCAUUUUGUUGACUUCAGUAAGCAGGCUGUGGACUCCUGACUGUUGUAUGGAGUUUAGAUGAACAUGCUGAUGUCUUUCAUACUCUUUUCAUUUCUGACCAACAGACCCUUAUAGUAAUUUGCUGAGGGAUGGUGAGGCAAAUAACCAUCAGGAUAGACGAAAGGAGGAACAUGCUCUGUGACCUGCACAGUUUCAGUCCUCACAUGUGGUUCAUGGACGCUGAGGAGCAGAAGUGGUCUCACGACUCUGGAAUAUAGUGUGGCCAGGUGCAUAUGGGCAUGUUCUUUGACAGUGAACUCCAUGUAUGGUUGCAGCUGAACUUUCUACAGGCUGUAAAUGAACAUUAUUAUGACUUACUUUGAGUCUCAAGGCACAGGAAGUACGGCAAUUCAUCCUAUGUAAUCUUUUUGCUUUUGAGUGGUUGUUGCUAGCAGUUGUGGAGCUGUUCCCUGGCAGUUUUGUUGGUUAUGUAAUUAAGAACCGUUAAAAAUAUGUACUGCGAGAAGCAGUUCAUCUA
Molecule: non-coding RNA, 566 nt
Organism: Cyanistes caeruleus (blue tit)
Lineage: Eukaryota; Metazoa; Chordata; Aves; Passeriformes; Paridae
Source: RefSeq, a predicted model, not a curated record